UAGAGGGCACUGAAUGAGUAAAGCUGUGCUGAAAACAACAGUGGCCAAGGCAGGAAUAUUCUCAUACCCCAAACAGUCGGGCAGAUGGAAGUCUGGCCAGCAGAACCAUAAAGCAUCGAGUCUGACUGUGAGUCAAUCUGUCAGCACAAGUACAAGAUGGUGAUACUAAGGCAGAAAAUGAUAAGGAAGAACAAUCGUCUCAUCUGAUGGUAGCUGGGUAAGGAGAACAAGUUUCUGUAUUUUUUCUUCACUAUUGCUCUGAAUGCUAAAGGAAGGAAAUGAUGUGCUCUAAAUAGACAGAAGCUUCCCCGAGUGGAAAUCUGAUCACAGGUACGUGGAUCACUUUCUCCUGAGCAUCAAGGUUUUCUUUACUUUCAGGAGUGUGUCUGUCACCUUAGAAAACCUGCUGCAGGUGUCCUGGGGCUGAGCUGGCGCUGAGGAGCUGGGAUUUGGAGACGGUUUCUGUUCCUUUUAUCCCCGCCUCAGCUCUCUUGCUCAUUUCACCAAGAUUGCAUUCUGGUUUCAUCUUCAGUGUCAGAAAAUCUAAAGAUCUAGAAGAUGGUAUGAAUUCACCUGCAUUUAAGCAAUUGGAAAUUUUACAAAAGGACAUGAAAAAGAAUGUUUUCUAACAAAACAAGAAUGAGAACAGAACCCUUUAUGAGGUGUUUAAAGAACUAUGGAAAUCAAGAUUUAUAAUUCAGUCUGUCAUAUAAGGCAGCAUAUGUAAGUCCAUGUGAAAAAGAAAGCGAAUUCUAUCAGAAGAUUACAUGUGCUUCUAUUUUCUCCUCUCUUAACAUUUUCUCCUAGAUACCUUGCCUGUUGGUACAAAAGGAGCUAUACGGGCAUUUCAGAAUGUUUGUGGACAGACAACAUUUAAAGAUAAGAUGAUUCUGCUGCAAGCAACUUUGGAAUCCAUGCAUACCAGGGGUUGUCACAAAGUUCACAGAGGGAGUGGUGUUUGGGCUGGUGGUGAAGAUGCUCACAUGGUGUUUUGAAAUGCUUGGGUCUGAUUAACUCCCUGAGGCUUCUGACCCCAUCUUCCUGCUAAUGUAGAUCCUGCAAGGCUACAGUGAUGGCUCAAGUAAUUGGGUUCCUGCCACCCAUGGGGGAGUUCCCUUCUCCAGUCUUAUCUGUUGUGACCAUUGGGUAGCUCUCUCUCUCUCUCUGCAUAUCAAAUGCAAUUUAAAAAUAUUGAAAUGAAAAUACUAUGCAGGGAUUUCAACUUUUUUUUUUUUCUUUGCACCAACACAAACUUUUCUUUACAUUUUCCAUGAGCUUUUCGAAGUUUACUCCUUCUACAUUGGUUUAGGCAGAUCUCAGACACACUUUUACAGUGAGCAGAAGCAGAGAUAAACUCGUGGCAGGUGCACAUGACCUUUUCAUCAGAAAAUCUUAUUUAAGGAUACAUUGUUGAGAUAAAGAAUCCUGCCAAACUCAAGGCCAAUGUAUGGUGGUUAUAAUUUCACAAUACUGAAAGAAAAAUACUUUAUAGAAGGCAGCACUUCUCAAUAAAAUAUGGAACAUCCACACUGUCUUAUAUAUGUAUUAUAUAUUCUUGACAGUUGUUCUCAUAAAUAUCUGAAAAAUUAAUGUUCUGAUACCUUCAGUAUUUGUCAAAGGGAUAUGGUACCUUAGUUUAAGAGACAUGGUGUUUUGACAGGAGACUCAUUUUAUUUCUGUUCCAUAACUAGGGGAAAAAGUAGGAGAUAACAUUUUAAAAAAAAGUUUAGAGAUAGAAUGCUGACCUGAAAAAGCCAUAAGUAAUGUGUUGAUAGUUUCAGAAAUUGAAAUGUGUUUGAAUGUUUCUGGUACCUUGCUGCAAAAUAUGACUGAAAUUGACAAAAGCAUAAAGUGAAAUUUUCCCAAAUGAUACCUCAUUCUCCACAAGUUUAUUUUAUAGUGUUGGAUACAGAUAAAACAUUAAAUAUCAGACUAAAGCCAACCAACCAACCAAACAAACAAAAUGGAGCUGGCACUGUGGCAUAGCAGGUAAAGCCGCCACCUGCAGUGCUGGUAUCCCAUAUGGCACCUGUUCGAGUCCUGGCUGCUCCACUUCUUAUCCAGCUCUCUGCUAUGGCCUAGGAAAGCAGUAGAUGGCCCAAGUCCUUGGGCCCCUAUAGCAGCGUGAGAGACCCAGAAGAAGCUCCUGGCUCCUGGCUUAGGGUGGGCCCACCUCCUGCCAUUGCAGUCAUUUUGGAAGUGAGCUAACAGAUGGAAGACCUCUCUGUCUCUGUCUCUCUGCCUCUCUGUAACUCUGCCUUUCAAAUAAAUAAAUGAAAAUCUUUAAAAAAUGCAUAUCACAGACUAUCUUCUUGAUGUCCAUUGAG
Non-coding RNA from Oryctolagus cuniculus (rabbit), 2327 nucleotides. The record is from RefSeq and is a predicted model, not a curated record. Lineage: Eukaryota; Metazoa; Chordata; Mammalia; Lagomorpha; Leporidae.